Molecule: long non-coding RNA, 666 nt
Filed under: Homo sapiens (human)
Lineage: Eukaryota; Metazoa; Chordata; Mammalia; Primates; Hominidae
Description: HSALNT0393736
Source: RNAcentral
ACUCUUCAGCUGAUAUCCACUUGCUGACAAAUGAAUCUCUCUGGCCCCUGGACUGUGCCCUGAAACACAGCUUAAAACAGCAGAAUGAACAGUAAUCCCAGAGAUCCUGAGAUGAGAAAAGGGUGUUUGACUUAUUCAAAGAAGACCAAGGAAGCCCAAAGACCAGAGAAGAGUGCAGGAAAGGGGCGGCGGUCUGAGAUGCAGUCAGAGCAGUGGCAAGCCCCCAGAGUCUGUGGCAAAGACUUCAGGUUUCAUCCUGAAGAGGAAGACAGGUCUUUGGAGAGUUUUGAUCAAGGAAGUGAGAUGAAAUAUCUUAGGCUUACAAAGAACUACUCUGACAUCUAAAUGGAAAAUGGACUGAUGAAGCAAAAGAAGCCACAAGGAAGCCAGUUCAGAGGCUAUUGAAAUGCUCCAGUUCCUUUGGCCACGCUGUAAUCACUAGUGAGCUCUUCUGGCAGUUAUAAGUCACAUGUCAUGUGACAGAUUUUCCUGUAUGAUUUUCAUUAAAAUGCUUUGGAAUCCUGGGACAGAAAGAAAUUAUGUAAAUAGGAACAGCGGUUUAUUGAAAGGAAAGCAAAUGUCCAGAAGCAAAAACAAACAAACAAAAAACAAACAAACAAACAAAAACAGAAAAAACUUCCCCAAAAGUAAAGAAUCACAGCUUUA